RNAcentral lists this long non-coding RNA (1723 nucleotides) under Homo sapiens (human). RNAcentral describes it as "HSALNT0258067". The record is from RNAcentral. Lineage: Eukaryota; Metazoa; Chordata; Mammalia; Primates; Hominidae.
AGGUAGGCCAGACCCUAGAGUCAGGAGUUAGAUUUUACAAUGCAAGGUCUCCAGUCUCCAGAUUUCACAACACAAGGUCACAGGCCUUCUGACCCUGGGACUGUAGGCACAGGCCUCGGAAAUUGACUCAGCGGUCUCUCGGGAGGUGUGCAGAAGGCUGUUACAAGGCACAUCCAUUCGUCUCUCAAGGAGGGAAGAGUGGGCUUCAUUUUUCUUCUACUUUGCUGUAGAAAGUGUGUGAAAUUCAGCCCAGAUUGUGUAGAGUCUCCUGCAGGCUCCUCGCAUGUGUGUAUCUAAUAUGCAUAUUCAGGAAUAAAUCACGUUUCCUGCCUCAUCUAUAUGGGUAUGAGGGGAGAGGAGUCUUUUUGUUGGCAAGACUUUUUAUUUCUCCAACAGCCCCGUUGCUGGAAAUGCUGGCAUUGAGUCUCUCACUCUCCUCCAGAUUUAAAGCUGGAGAAACGUGCUGCAGCCAUUUCUCUGCCCUUAGGGAAGAGGCUGCCUGAGAACAAGGCCAACUCCAAGGAACUGGGCCAACAACCUCAUUAUGGAGCUGAUGGCCUCAGCAUCCUACAAGCGCAUCAGAACUCUGCCUGGCUUCUCGACAGGCAAUUACCUGGAACACCAGGUUCAAGGAUGGAGUGGAAGAUGAUGGAAGAGUGUGUUUUUGUGAGGAGGCCAGAAGACACUCAUAUUCGUUACAGCCCCAGGCACAGAGAGGUUCUCCGGUCCAGUCCUGCAGGUGAACUAAAGAUGCCUCCAGGGGCUGUGCUGAAAAUGGACCAGCUUGGGCCCAGCUUCUCUGUGCCUCUUCCUUUGGCCCUCUGCCUCCUGGUUUUCUUACACUAUAAUCUUUAUAAUCCAUAAUAUCCUGUCCAUCAAACAACCUGCAACCCUUUUCUAAGAAUCUGAAAGUCACUUCUCUGGCCGGGCGCGGUGUCUCACGCCUGUAAUACUAGCACUUUGGGAGGCUGAGGUGGGCAGAUCAUUUGAGGUCGGAGUUCCAGACCAGCCUUGCCAAUAUGGUGAAACGCUGUCUCUACUAAAAAUACAAAAAUUAGCCAGGCAUAGUGGUGGGCGCCUGUAAUCCCAGCUACUCGGGGGACUAAGGCAUGAGAAUCGAUUGAAUCCGGGAGGCAGAUGCUGCAGUGAGCCAAGAUCGAGCCACUGUAAUCCAGCCUGGGCAACAGAGUGAGACUCGGCCUCAAAAAAUAAAAAUAAAAUAAAAAGUGACUUCUCUGCUUCUUCCAAAGCAAGAGAGAGUCCCCACUGGUCACUGGAUAAACUUGUGUGUUUCCGAGCGUUUUGGAUCAGAUUUAUUGGCACUUACUGGAAGCAAAAAAGAGCCUGGAGAUAGCUCUAUUUUAUUUCCAUGAUACCUAGUCCCCAGUUAUAUGACAACUCUAGACUGAGCCCAGCAUGUAGAAGCCAGAAACUCAUUGAGGUUUUUUUAUCCAAAUUAUUUGCUAUAAACAUGAGCUUCCUUUAGGCCAGAGAUUCACAAAUUUGGCUUCACAUUAGAAUUGGUUGGGGGCUAUAAAAAAUCUCCAUGCCCAGGUUGUUUCCAUCCCAUUUAAAUCGGUUUAAACAACGAUUAAUGCCUGGAGGUGGGUCCAGGCAUAGUUUUUAAAGCUUAGCAGUUGAUUGCAACGUCUACCAAGUUUGAAACACUGGCCCGAGGCUGUGGUUUUCAAUGAUGCCUGAACAUUGGAAUCACCUGGAGAUG